Picea glauca (white spruce) is the source of this 72-nucleotide non-coding RNA. The record is from Rfam. Lineage: Eukaryota; Viridiplantae; Streptophyta; Pinopsida; Pinales; Pinaceae.
GCGUUUGUACGCCAACGGUUAGGAUAAUUGCCUUCCAAGCAAUAGACCCGGGUUCGAUUCCCGGCAGACGCA